RNAcentral lists this ribosomal RNA (637 nucleotides) under uncultured bacterium. RNAcentral's name for it is "bacterial SSU rRNA". It matches the Rfam family "Bacterial small subunit ribosomal RNA", at positions 232 to 883 of the family's 1533-position model. The record is from RNAcentral.
CGCGGCCUAUCAGCUUGUUGGUGGGGUAACGGCCUACCAAGGCAACGACGGGUAGCUGGUCUGAGAGGACGAUCAGCCACACUGGGACUGAGACACGGCCCAGACUCCUACGGGAGGCAGCAGUAGGGAAUCUUGCGCAAUGGGCGAAAGCCUGACGCAGCGACGCCGCGUGCGGGAUGAAGGCCUUCGGGUCGUAAACCGCUUUCAGCAGGGACGAAAUUGACGGUACCUGCAGAAGAAGGCCCGGCCAACUACGUGCCAGCAGCCGCGGUGAUACGUAGGGGUCUAGCGUUGUCCGGAAUCAUUGGGCGUAAAGAGCUCGUAGGCGGUUCGAUUAGUCGGGUGUGAAAUCUCCACGCUCAACGUGGAGGGGCCACUCGAUACUGUCGUGACUCGAGUCCGGUAGGGGAGUUCGGAAUUCCCGGUGUAGCGGUGAAAUGCGCAGAUAUCGGGAGGAACACCAGUGGCGAAGGCGGAACUCUGGGCCGGAACUGACGCUGAGGAGCGAAAGCGUGGGGAGCGAACAGGAUUAGAUACCCUGGUAGUCCACGCCGUAAACGUUGGGCACUAGGUGUGGGACUCUAUCGACGGGUUCCGUGCCGUAGCUAACGCAUUAAGUGCCCCGCCUGGGGAGUAC